UACGUAGGGGGCGAGCGUUGUCCGGAUUUAUUGGGCGUAAAGAGCGUGUAGGCGGCUAUACAGGUCCGCUGUGAAAACUCGAGGCUCAACCUCGAGACGUCGGUGGAAACCGUAUGGCUAGAGUCCGGAAGAGGAGAGUGGAAUUCCUGGUGUAGCGGUGAAAUGCGCAGAUAUCAGGAAGAACACCCGUGGCGAAGGCGGCUCUCUGGGACGGUACUGACGCUGAGGCGCGAAAGCCAGGGGAGCGAACAGG
RNAcentral lists this ribosomal RNA (253 nucleotides) under uncultured bacterium. RNAcentral's name for it is "partial 16S ribosomal RNA". It matches the Rfam family "Bacterial small subunit ribosomal RNA", at positions 524 to 776 of the family's 1533-position model. The record is from RNAcentral.